RNAcentral lists this ribosomal RNA (639 nucleotides) under uncultured Nitrososphaerota archaeon. Its description in RNAcentral is "bacterial SSU rRNA". It matches the Rfam family "Archaeal small subunit ribosomal RNA", at positions 76 to 718 of the family's 1478-position model. The record is from RNAcentral. Lineage: Archaea; Thermoproteati; Nitrososphaerota.
GCGUGGCAUACGGCUCAGUAACACGUAGUCAACAUGCCCAGGGGACGUGGAUAACCUCGGGAAACUGAGGAUAAACCGCGAUAGGUCAUCACUUCUGGAAUGGGUAAUGACUUAAAUCUAUAUGGCCCUUGGAUUGGACUGCGGCCGAUCAGGCUGUUGGUGAGGUAAUGGCCCACCAAACCUAUAACCGGUACGGGCUCUGAGAGGAGGAGCCCGGAGAUGGGCACUGAGACAAGGGCCCAGGCCCUAUGGGGCGCAGCAGGCGCGAAACCUCUGCAAUAGGCGAAAGCUUGACAGGGUUACUCUGAGUGAUGUCCGUUAAGGGCAUCUUUUGGCACCUCUAAAAAUGGUGUAGAAUAAGGGGUGGGCAAGUCUGGUGUCAGCCGCCGCGGUAAUACCAGCACCCCGAGUGGUCGGGACGAUUAUUGGGCCUAAAGCAUCCGUAGCCGGUUCUGCAAGUCUUCCGUUAAAUCCACCUGCUCAACAGAUGGGCUGCGGGGGAUACUACAGGGCUAGGAGGCGGGAGAGGCAAGCGGUACUCGGUGGGUAGGGGUAAAAUCCUCUGAUCCACUGAAGACCACCAGUGGCGAAGGCGGCUUGCCAGAACGCGCUCGACGGUGAGGGAUGAAAGCUGGGGGA